GAUGAACGCUGGCGGCGUGCUUAACACAUGCAAGUCGAACGGAAAGGCCCAAGCUUGCUUGGGUACUCGAGUGGCGAACGGGUGAGUAACACGUGGGUGAUCUGCCCUGCACUUCGGGAUAAGCCUGGGAAACUGGGUCUAAUACUGGAUAGGACCACUUCUUGGAUGUUGUGGUGGAAAGUUUUUUCGGUGUGGGAUGAGCUCGCGGCCUAUCAGCUUGUUGGUGGGGUAAUGGCCUACCAAGGCGUCGACGGGUAGCCGGCCUGAGAGGGUGUACGGCCACAUUGGGACUGAGAUACGGCCCAGACUCCUACGGGAGGCAGCAGUGGGGAAUAUUGCACAAUGGGCGCAAGCCUGAUGCAGCGACGCCGCGUGGGGGAUGACGGCCUUCGGGUUGUAAACUACUUUCGCUAGGGACGAAGCGUUUUGUGACGGUACCUGGAGAAGAAGCACCGGCUAACUACGUG
RNAcentral lists this ribosomal RNA (467 nucleotides) under uncultured bacterium. Its description in RNAcentral is "partial 16S ribosomal RNA". It matches the Rfam family "Bacterial small subunit ribosomal RNA", at positions 28 to 507 of the family's 1533-position model. The record is from RNAcentral.